AAAUUUUCGGGUAUCUCCGUGGUACCAUCUCCGUGCAAUUAUGCAGUAUGGCGUUCAUCUCUUACGGAAAGAGAAUGGUAACUUGAUACACUGUGUUUUGUGUGGAUAAGAAAUGCAGAGUGGUACCACCAAUCACCUAAGCCACCAUUCCCCUAACAGACAAUAGGCUCAUGGGGACAGUUCCUGCAAUUUACAGAAAAGCUCUCAAUUGUAGCCCUACGAACAUCAGAUACUGCCGAUGGUGAAGCUUGGGUGCACCGGGCCGGUUUUCCAGCCGUGUGGAAUCAACAUCUCCAGCUGAACUGGGGCCGGGAAUUAUAUAAGACUCCUUAGCAGCAUGAGUGCCAGCCAGUCAUUGCUGUUCUUUGCAUUGCUGAGGAGGACAGUCCUGCCAACAUAACAGUUUGUUCAAUAACAGGAGACAAACAGAAACACAGAGGUGCUAUACAUUCUGAUGGAAAAACAAAAGCAUCUCCCAUCAUUUUGGCGUGGCUCAGAUCAAGAGGAGAAUUUUAAGAAAGGUGAUGGUUGGGCACACACAAGAAGACAUAGAUCACAGGUGUCUAGCCAUAUGAGUAGAUAGGAGUGUCACACUCUGCCAAACUUACUUCAUCAGACGAGCAGAAAGCUUCUCAAGAUCCCGCACUGCACACUAAGACAUAGUCUUUGACUACAACAAGGUGAUGAAAGUACAGAGAGGUCCAAUUGAAAUCAAUUCUGUGCUGCGUCAUUUCUUCAUUCUGGAAGUCGAUGGACGUGAUAUAUCAUGGCAUAAAGUGUGCAGUUUGCCGACUAUCAGCAGUCUUGUUCACCAGCUGUGCAACUUGAGCUGGUAGCUUUAUUGCUUGAAGCCACUGCAUAAGAGGAGGAAGGUGCAGGCUCAUCAAAAAGUCUCAAAAGUUGAAACUAGGAAAAGAAGUUUAUCAAGAGUGUGAAUCUAUUUUGAAAACAAUCGUUACAAUGAUUUGGUUUCCUUUGAAACUUGAUACAUACUAUGAAUUGAGAUGCUUAAAUAAAAAAACGCAAUUCAAAUAUCAGGAAACUGCCUUUUUCAUACUAAAGGGUAAAUGAUGUCGCCAUUUCCUGUAUGUAUUUAAAUAAGAUAUGUCUCCACAAUUAAUAUUUUUAGGGAAUUUUUCUCAACCUAAUGACUGAGAUUAAAUUGUACAGCGUUAUAUGAGCUUAAUAUGUGUUUUCUCAUUCUUUAAAAUUGGUGAAAAAUUGUCAGAAGAUAAUGAGACCAGUAUCCAUUACUGCAAUCAUACAAUCAAAUAUACAGGGACAAGCCCACUGGGCAUAUAAUAUAAUUAAACCCUGUUCAGGGGCACGAGGCAAACAGAGUUACUUUCAAACGUUAAAGCUGCACUCUCACACUUUAGAUGUUUAGACCUUUUUCAUUUUAUGUCUUGGAUUGGAACCAUCCAAUUUUUGCGAAAAUUAAAUCCCAGAUUUUUCUAUUUAAGUUAAAACAUUGAUGUUUUUUAUGCACUUUUCUUAAACCGUUAGUAACAUUAAUUUUUGAACGGAAAUAUGAAAUCUGCGAUCUGAUCUUUUGUCAGCAAUCUUUUAUCAUUGGUUUGCAGAUAAUUACGCAAAAACUUAAUCAUUCCAAGACAAAAAAAGUUGUGGAAACGGUAUAUUUGUGAGAGUGCAGCUCUAAAUGUUUAAUUGCUUGAUUUUACUACUGUAUUAGAAAUUACAGGGAUUGGGGUAUAUUUUUAGUGUUUUUAUUGCUUGUUUUUGAUUCAUACAGUCAUACUUUAUUCUUCAGGGCACAACUUACAAAUAGACAAAACUGGAAAAUGGUCAUAUCAAAAGGUCAAAGAUAAUGCAAGUUGAACAAUCAUAUUGUUCAUGGCUUGUAUUUUUGGUAUAUUUUGUUGCAUAUGCUAUAGAAAAGUUGAAAGUUAAAAAUAAAUUCAUAGUUGAAAUGAUGGCUUUGAAUGGUAUUGUCAGAUGAGAAACGGCACUAUUAAGAAAUAGGUAUAAUGGUACUUUAUUUAUUUUAAUCAAUUUUAGAUAUUAUGAAAAUUAUUAUCUUAUUUAGUACAUGAGACCUUUUAAACAGUUAUUGACAAUAUAACAAUGUGUAUAUGAAGCUUUAGAUCAACACUUAAAGCUGCACUCUUACAGAUUGUCAGUUUAGACACAAAAUUGUCUCAAAAUCGGCUGAUUUGGUUAUCAUUCCUUUAAUUCAGUCAUAUUAGAUAAUUCACAAUAGAACCAAUCAAAAAUGUUUGGUAAAACUGCCGAAAAGUUCAUUUACAUUAAAUUGUUCGUAAUGCUUUUAGUCAUUGUUCGUAAUGCUUUUAGUCAUAAAACAUCAUUUUUUUAACAUAAAUAUGAUGAACUGCAAUCUGAUCUUUUUUCAGCAGUCUUAUAUCACUUAAAAUUGGGUCUAGACAUUUCUGCAAAAAAUAAUCCAUUCAUAGACAAACAAUAAAAGAGUACCGGUAGUCAAAACGAUCAAUCGGUGAGAUUGCAGCUUUAAAUACACCUUUUAAGACCGCUGUAAAAUUCCAAUGGUUUGCCUAAAUCUUUAAAGCUAGCAUACUGUUUAAUUGACAACCAUACUUAUUGUUUAAAAGUGUCAUGAUAUCUUUGUACAAUGUUUUUAUAUAAUUCAUUAAAGAAGUCAAAACAAAUUUGUUUAUCUUGUAAUUUGUUAUCUAUUAUUUAAAUGACUCAGACAAAAAUGGGAACGUCAGUGCUAGUUCUUUUACUAUUAACAUCCCAUGAAGUUUCUAUUGGUGUAGCAGCAAGGAGGUGUUACAUUAAGGAUGCAUCAUUUAAACCAAA
Mya arenaria is the source of this 2799-nucleotide long non-coding RNA. RefSeq lists it as uncharacterized. Lineage: Eukaryota; Metazoa; Mollusca; Bivalvia; Myida; Myidae. The record is from RefSeq and is a predicted model, not a curated record. The transcript is spliced from 6 exons.